RNAcentral lists this ribosomal RNA (132 nucleotides) under Triticum aestivum (bread wheat). Its description in RNAcentral is "partial small subunit ribosomal RNA". The record is from RNAcentral. Lineage: Eukaryota; Viridiplantae; Streptophyta; Magnoliopsida; Poales; Poaceae.
AUGUACCCUUUGGCUUGGGCAGUUGUUGAAAAAGAGAACAAUGAUAGUUGGGACUGGUUUUGUUCUUUACUUUUCAGAGAUGUGACUGUGCUAGAUGGUGAAGGUUGGGUGAUUAUAUCGGAUCAACAGAAG